This 449-nucleotide ribosomal RNA is filed under the name uncultured bacterium. Its description in RNAcentral is "SSU rRNA". It matches the Rfam family "Bacterial small subunit ribosomal RNA", at positions 26 to 518 of the family's 1533-position model. The record is from RNAcentral.
AGAUUGAACGCUGGCGGCAGGCCUAACACAUGCAAGUCGAACGCUCCGCAAGGAGAGUGGCAGACGGGUGAGUAACGCGUGGGAAUUUCCCCCAAGGUUCGGAAUAACUGAGGGAAACUUCAGCUAAUACCGAAUGGUACCGAGAGGUUAAAGAUUUAUCGCCUUGGGAUGAGCCCGCGUUGGAUUAGCUAGUUGGUGGGGUAACGGCCCACCAAGGCUUUGAUCCAUAGCUGGUCUGAGAGGACGACCAGCCACACUGGGACUGAGACACGGCCCAGACUCCUACGGGAGGCAGCAGUGGGGAAUAUUGCGCAAUGGGCGGAAGCCUGACGCAGCGACGCCGCGUGGGGGAUGACGGCCUUCGGGUUGUAAACCUCUUUCGCCAGGGACGAAGAGAAAUUGACGGUACCUGGAUAAGAAGCACCGGCCAACUACGUGCCAGCAGCCGC